Molecule: non-coding RNA, 493 nt
Organism: Hydra vulgaris (swiftwater hydra)
Lineage: Eukaryota; Metazoa; Cnidaria; Hydrozoa; Anthoathecata; Hydridae
Source: RefSeq, a predicted model, not a curated record
UCAUAUAUGUAUGCAUUUCAGAUAACUUGUAAUAUUUUUUUUUUUAUUACACUUUUUUAACCUUAGUUCCAUCUACAUGUGCUAUAAAUUAGGGUUGUUAACGAAAGCCAAAAUUGAAUUUUCGAUUAAAAAAAAAGUUUUCGAAACUCUAUUUUCGUUUCGUCCCACAACCUCCUCAACAUGCUCGACAACCUUCUUCUGGUAAAUUUAUGAUUUAGAAAUGUUUCUGAAUAAUUAUUUAAUUAAUAAUAUUUUUAUUUUUCACACACUAAUUAAUACAUUAAAUAAUUUAAAGUGCAGUACAAGUAAAACUCAGUGCAGUGUUUAAAUUUUUACUUUAAUUAACAUUUGUUAUGCUUUUAUUGAUUUAUUAGUCGUUCAUUCUAUUUAUUUUGAUAUAUUGAUUUUUAGGGUGGAUACUCCAACCUGCAUCUUGUAAUGUGGUAAGUUAUGUCGCUCUUUUUACACAAUUUAAAGACAUUUUAAAAAUUUU